GGGGUGGUGGCGCAGUUGGCUAGCGAAUAAUCAUGAGGUCGAGAGUUCGAGCCUCUCUCACCCCA
Molecule: transfer RNA, 65 nt
Filed under: Hordeum vulgare subsp. vulgare (domesticated barley)
Lineage: Eukaryota; Viridiplantae; Streptophyta; Magnoliopsida; Poales; Poaceae
Rfam family: tRNA
About the family: Transfer RNA (tRNA) molecules are approximately 80 nucleotides in length. Their secondary structure includes four short double-helical elements and three loops (D, anti-codon, and T loops). Further hydrogen bonds mediate the characteristic L-shaped molecular structure. tRNAs have two regions of fundamental functional importance: the anti-codon, which is responsible for specific mRNA codon recognition, and the 3' end, to which the tRNAs corresponding amino acid is attached (by aminoacyl-tRNA synthetases). tRNAs cope with the degeneracy of the genetic code in two manners: having more than one tRNA (with a specific anti-codon) for a particular amino acid; and 'wobble' base-pairing, i.e. permitting non-standard base-pairing at the 3rd anti-codon position.
Source: Rfam by way of RNAcentral